Non-coding RNA from Tachysurus fulvidraco (yellow catfish), 531 nucleotides. NCBI's taxonomy places the organism in Eukaryota, Metazoa, Chordata, Actinopteri, Siluriformes, Bagridae. The record is from the annotation of a RefSeq genome assembly.
ACUCAGAGAAGGAUGAUUUUAGGACAGUGUAUUUUAUUGCUACUCAUUUCAUAUUCUUAUGGACAGUCCCUGACCUCCUCUGAUUCUGUGGUGAAGAGACCUGGAGAGUCGGUCACUCUGUCCUGUACUGUCUCCGGUUUCUCAAUGGGCUACUGGAUGCACUGGAUCCGUCAGAAACCAGGACAAGGACUGGAGUGGAUCGGGCUCAUUGACACUGGCACUGGCACUGCAUUCGCUCAGUCUCUACAGGGCCAGUUCUCCAUCAAUAAAGACACCAAUAAAAACUUGCUGUACCUAGAAGUGAAGAGUCUGAAAGCUGAAGACACGGCAGUUUAUUACUGUGCACGAGAGUCACACUGACACAAUAGACUCCAGAGCUGUACAAAAACUUACACAAGCACGUCCUUGUGAGCUGUAAAUAUUCCCUCAGCAGGAAUCUGCACCCCAGAGACCUUUAUUAUAAACAACAUCAUCCAUUCACACUCAGCACUCAGAUCUUCCUCUUUAUUCCAAUCUCUUCUAGCAGUUAUU